Molecule: ribosomal RNA, 1384 nt
Filed under: uncultured bacterium
Lineage: Bacteria
Description: bacterial SSU rRNA
Rfam family: Bacterial small subunit ribosomal RNA
Source: RNAcentral
GAAUUCGCCCUUAGAGUUUGAUCCUGGCUCAGGACGAACGCUGGCGGCGCGCCUAACACAUGCAAGUCGAACGAGCGAGAGAGAGCUUGCUUUCUCAAGCGAGUGGCGAACGGGUGAGUAACGCGUGAGGAACCUGCCUCAAAGAGGGGGACAACAGUUGGAAACGACUGCUAAUACCGCAUAAGCCCACGGGUCGGCAUCGACCAGAGGGAAAAGGAGCAAUCCGCUUUGAGAUGGCCUCGCGUCCGAUUAGCUAGUUGGUGAGGUAAUGGCCCACCAAGGCGACGAUCGGUAGCCGGACUGAGAGGUUGAACGGCCACAUUGGGACUGAGACACGGCCCAGACUCCUACGGGAGGCAGCAGUGGGGAAUAUUGCACAAUGGGGGAAACCUUGAUGCAGCGACGCCGCGUGGAGGAAGAAGGUCUUCGGAUUGUAAACUCCUGUUGUUGAGGAAGGUAAUGACGGUACUCAACAAGGAAGUGACGGCUAACUACGUGCCAGCAGCCGCGGUAAAACGUAGGUCACAAGCGUUGUCCGGAAUUACUGGGUGUAAAGGGAGCGCAGGCGGGAAGACAAGUUGGAAGUGAAAUCUAUGGGCUCAACCCAUAAACUGCUUUCAAAACUGUUUUUCUUGAGUAGUGCAGAGGUAGGCGGAAUUCCCGGUGUAGCGGUGGAAUGCGUAGAUAUCGGGAGGAACACCAGUGGCGAAGGCGGCCUACUGGGCACCAACUGACGCUGAGGCUCGAAAGUGUGGGUAGCAAACAGGAUUAGAUACCCUGGUAGUCCACACCGUAAACGAUGAUUACAAGGUGUUGGAGGAUGACCCCCUUCAGUGCCGCAGUUAACACAAUAAGUAAUCCACCUGGGGAGUACGACGGCAAGGUUGAAAACUCAAAAGGAAUUGACGGGGGCCCGCACAAGCAGUGGAGUAUGUGGUUUAAUUCGACGCAACGCGAAGAACCUUACCAAGUCUUGACAUCCUGCGACGAUGCUGGAAACAGUAUUUUCCUUCGGGACGCAGAGACAGGUGGUGCAUGGUUGUCGUCAGCUCGUGUCGUGAGAUGUUGGGUUAAGUCCCGCAACGAGCGCAACCCUUACUGUCAGUUACUACGCAAGAGGACUCUGGCAGGACUGCCGUUGACAAAACGGAGGAAGGUGGGGAUGACGUCAAAUCAUCAUGCCCUUUAUGACUUGGGCUACACACGUACUACAAUGGCGUUAAACAAAGAGAAGCAAGACCGCGAGGUGGAGCAAAACUCAGAAACAACGUCCCAGUUCGGACUGCAGGCUGCAACUCGCCUGCACGAAGUCGGAAUUGCUAGUAAUCGUGGAUCAGCAUGCCACGGUGAAUACGUUCCCGGGCCUUGUACUCACCGCCCGUCA